CCUACGGGUGGCAGCAGUGAGGAAUAUUGGUCAAUGGACGAGAGUCUGAACCAGCCAAGUAGCGUGAAGGAUGACUGCCCUAUGGGUUGUAAACUUCUUUUAUAAAGGAAUAAAACGAGGCACGUAUGCCUUUUUGCAUGUACUUUAUGAAUAAGGAUCGGCUAACUCCGUGACAGCAGCCGCGGUAAUACGGAGGAUCCGAGGGUUAUCCGGAUGUAUUGGGUUUAAGGGGUGCGUAGGAGGACUGUUAAGUCAGCGGUAAAAGCCCGGGGCGCAACCCCGGCGAGCCGUUGAAACUGGCUGUCUUGAGAUGUCGAGAGGUAUGCGGAAUGCGUAGUGUAGCGGUGAAAUGCUUAGAUAUUGCGAAGAACUCCGAUUGCGAAGGCAGCAUACCGGCGGCGAUCUGACGCUGAGGCACGAAAGCGUGGGUAUCGAACAGGAUUAGAUACCCCAGUAGUC
This 459-nucleotide ribosomal RNA is filed under the name uncultured bacterium. RNAcentral describes it as "partial 16S ribosomal RNA". It matches the Rfam family "Bacterial small subunit ribosomal RNA", at positions 338 to 795 of the family's 1533-position model. The record is from RNAcentral.